Molecule: ribosomal RNA, 426 nt
Filed under: uncultured bacterium
Lineage: Bacteria
Description: partial 16S ribosomal RNA
Rfam family: Bacterial small subunit ribosomal RNA
Source: RNAcentral
GUGAGGAAUUUUCCGCAAUGGGCGAAAGCCUGACGGAGCAAUGCCGCGUGAAGGAUGAAGGCCUAUGGGUUGUAAACUUCUUUUCUUAGAGAAUAAUAUUGACGGGAUCUGAGGAAUAAGCAUCGGCUAACUCUGUGCCAGCAGCCGCGGUAAGACAGAGGAUGCAAGCGUUAUCCGGAAUGAUUGGGCGUAAAGCGUCUGUAGGUGGCUUGAAAAGUCUCCUGUCAAAGAUCAGGGCUUAACCCUGGGCCGGCAGGAGAAACUCUGAGGCUAGAGUUUGGUAGGGGCAGAGGGAAUUCCCGGUGGAGCGGUGAAAUGCGUAGAGAUCGGGAGGAACACCAAAGGCGAAAGCACUCUGCUGGGCCACAACUGACACUGAGAGACGAAAGCGAGGGGAGCAAAAGGGAUUAGAAACCCGGGUAGUCC